GUGCCAGCCGCCGCGGUAAUACCGGCAGCUCAAGUGAUGUCCCAUAUUAUUGGGCCUAAAGCGUCCGUAGCUGGCCGACCAAGUCUCCCGGGAAAUCCACCCGCCCAACGGGUGGGCGUCCGGUGGAAACUACACGGCUUGGGACCGGAAGGCGCGACGGGUACGUCCAGGGUAGGAGUGAAAUCCCGUAAUCCUGGACGGACCGCCGAUGGCGAAAGCACGUCGCGAGAACGGAUCCGACAGUGAGGGACGAAAGCUAGGGUCUCGAACCGGAUUAGAUACCCGAGUAGUCC
This 293-nucleotide ribosomal RNA is filed under the name uncultured bacterium. RNAcentral's name for it is "partial 16S ribosomal RNA". It matches the Rfam family "Archaeal small subunit ribosomal RNA", at positions 455 to 747 of the family's 1478-position model. The record is from RNAcentral.